This 253-nucleotide ribosomal RNA is filed under the name uncultured bacterium. RNAcentral's name for it is "partial 16S ribosomal RNA". It matches the Rfam family "Bacterial small subunit ribosomal RNA", at positions 524 to 776 of the family's 1533-position model. The record is from RNAcentral.
UACAGAGGGGGCAAGCGUUAUUCGGAAUUAUUGGGCGUAAAGAGCGUGUAGGCGGUCCGGUAAGUCAGCUGUGAAAGUCAAGGGCUCAACCCUUGAAAGCCGGUUGAUACUGUCGGGCUAGAGUCCGGAAGAGGCGAGUGGAAUUCCCGGUGUAGCGGUGAAAUGCGCAGAUAUCGGGAGGAAUACCAAUGGCGAAGGCAGCUCGCUGGGACGGUACUGACGCUGAGACGCGAAAGCGUGGGGAGCAAACAGG